This 348-nucleotide long non-coding RNA is filed under the name Oryza sativa Indica Group (long-grained rice). RNAcentral's name for it is "lncRNA OsZS97_12G014000". Lineage: Eukaryota; Viridiplantae; Streptophyta; Magnoliopsida; Poales; Poaceae. The record is from RNAcentral.
CCAUUUAUUCCAGCUUGCUGCCUUCUUCUUCAGGUCGAAAAUGUUUCAUUCAUUGCAAACAAGUUAGAGACAAUUUGGAAAGGGAUAGCCAGUGGAGAGUACACCAAUUUUUCUCUGAAAACAACAUUAUUUCUGGCCUCGUGGAAGCUUGCGCUCCUGAACACCUCGACGAGGUGGCGGAUGUACGCCAUCGUCGCCGGGUGGAUGUCUUCCCUCGCCCUCGCCGCCGCCACCAUCGCCGGAGAAGCAGUCGAGAUUGAGCAAGCUGAGAAGGACACAUAUACCUUACCGCCGGCGAGGAAUCAGGCCGGCGGUGCCGACGAGAAGCGGCGGCCGGCGAUGAAUUAG